RNAcentral lists this ribosomal RNA (475 nucleotides) under uncultured bacterium. RNAcentral describes it as "bacterial SSU rRNA". It matches the Rfam family "Bacterial small subunit ribosomal RNA", at positions 32 to 482 of the family's 1533-position model. The record is from RNAcentral.
AAUCAACGCUGGCGGCGUGCCUAACACAUGCAAGUCGAACGCGAAAGGGGAGCAAUCCCUGAUUAGAGUGGCAAACGGGUGAGUAACACGUGGGUGACCUGCCUUCGAGUGGGGGAUAACCUUCCGAAAGGAGGGCUAAUACCGCAUGACAUACCGUGUUUGGAUACACGGAUAUCAAAGCCGGGGAUCGCAAGACCUGGCGCUUGAAGAGGGGCCCGCGUCCGAUUAGCUAGUUGGUGGGGAACGGCUCACCAAGGCUCCGAUCGGUAUCCGGCCUGAGAGGGCGGACGGGACACACUGGAACUGAGACACGGUCCAGACUCCUACGGGAGGCAGCAGUGGGGAAUUGUUCGCAAUGGGCGAAAGCCUGACGACGCAACGCCGCGUGGAGGAUGAAGAAUUUCGGUUCGUAAACUCCUUUCGACCGAGAUGAAUACCCAUGGGCUUAAUACGCCUGUGGGCUGACAGUAUCGAG